RNAcentral lists this long non-coding RNA (1320 nucleotides) under Lactuca sativa (garden lettuce). RNAcentral's name for it is "long non-coding RNA (LSAT_LNC007878)". Lineage: Eukaryota; Viridiplantae; Streptophyta; Magnoliopsida; Asterales; Asteraceae. The record is from RNAcentral.
GUUACGUUCUCCACUCUUCCUGCUUCACUUCACUCAUCCCGCUUCGUUCUCCAAACGCCGUCGGAGACAACUCAUCGCCACCUCUGUAACUCAGCUCACCGGAGACACAAGCACCCCCACCCUUCGUAAGACACUCACAACCAUGUCGGUAAACCUAAGAAGUUAUCUGUAACUUUUCAUUCUUAUCAUUUUUCUCUUUUCCCUUUUAUUUAAGUUCUCUAGGGUUUUCUGUAUUUCAGAUGUUGUAAUCUCCUCUGUAUGUAUGGAUAAAAGAAAAAUCGAAGCAUAGUUGCGUUUUUUUUUCAGUAAACUCUGGUUUUCUAAUUGCACAGGCUGUAUUGCAACUUAAAAACAUAAGGAAACCACAUAGUUUUUCUGUAGUUUUGUUGAUCGUCUCGUUAGGGUUUUCUCCUCUAUCUUUUUAUUGAUUUUUUUCGUUGUAAAAUCUGAUUUAACGUGUAUGGUACGCUUGUUUCAGAAUGUGUUCUUAUGAAUAACCAAUUUUAUCAGAUCAGAUCACGAAUGUCUUACUCAAAUCUCUUGUUGUGAAUAACCAAUUCUGGCUAACAGCAACAUUGUCAUCACGGGUUAUUAUUAGGGUCACAUAAUCUGCCACAUUUAUCAACACAUAGAUUUAUUCCCCAUGGUACAUAAAUUUCUGAAGAUUAAGAAACCAGACUGUACUUUGUUAAUUACUUAAUAUUAAUAUACAUGCAAAAUGUCUAAUAGGGUAAUAAUGAAAAGCCUUUCCAUAUUGUUUAUAGGCUUCAAAUUGUGAAUGUUGUAGGUAUCAGAUGUUGGACAAUCAAAUGUUAAUGUAUAAAUUUAUUUGUUUACAUGUUCACAACAUUCAUCACAUGGUUCAAUGCUUUCCUUAAUGAGGAUUCAGACUGGUUAUUGCUGAUGCAGGAAACAAUGAGGAAUCAGACUUGUACUUAGAGCCAUCCUUCACCUAUAUAUAGAACUCGAAACUAUACCCAUCUGUAAGUUUUUACACAUAAUUCUAAGAGUUUAGAUUUUAUCAUUUUAAAAUUAUUUUUAGUAACUUGCCCCUGCAGCUUCUCAACCUGAUUUUAUGCCAGCAUGGUUCCGGUUAUUCAAUAAAGAAUUUGUACACAAUGUAUCCUUUGAUCAUCUAUUACAUGUAAGUUUUUAAAUUGAAUUGUUGCUCAUUCUCCCAUUUAAAUUUCAUGGAUUUAGUUAUAAUAGCAAUUCUAUUGAUUUUAAAAAAAAGUCACUAAAGGGUGUUUUAGUCAUUCAACAUAAUUUUCACUUCAAUUCUCUUGAUAGAUUUACAAACCAAACACAAAACAAAACAUG